Molecule: ribosomal RNA, 135 nt
Filed under: Otolemur garnettii (small-eared galago)
Lineage: Eukaryota; Metazoa; Chordata; Mammalia; Primates; Galagidae
Source: RNAcentral
CUACAGCCAUACCACCCUAAAUGUGCCCAACUCAUCUAAUCUCAGAAGCUAAGCAGGGUCAGGCCUGGUUAGUACUUGGAUUAGAUAAACACCUAACUUUAUUUGGUAAUAGAUGCAAACUGGCUUCUUUGUAGG